GACGAACGCUGGCGGCGUGCUUAACACAUGCAAGUCGUACGGUAAGGCCCUUUCGGGGGUACACGAGUGGCGAACGGGUGAGUAACACGUGAGUAACCUGCCCACAACUUUGGGAUAACGCUAGGAGACUGGUGCUAAUACUGGAUAUGUGCUCCUGCUGCAUGGUGGGGGUUGGAAAGCUCCGGCGGUUGUGGAUGGACUCGCGGCCUAUCAGCUUGUUGGUGGGGUAGUGGCCUACCAAGGCGGCGACGGGUAGCCGGCCUGAGAGGGUGACCGGCCACAUUGGGACUGAGAUACGGCCCAGACUCCUACGGGAGGCAGCAGUGGGGAACAUUGCACAAUGGGCGCAAGCCUGAUGCAGCAACGCCGCGUGCGGGAUGACGGCCUUCGGGUUGUAAACCGCUUUCAGCAGGGACGAAGCUUUUUGUGACGGUACCUGCAGAAGAAGCACCGGCUAACUACGUG
This 465-nucleotide ribosomal RNA is filed under the name uncultured bacterium. Its description in RNAcentral is "partial 16S ribosomal RNA". It matches the Rfam family "Bacterial small subunit ribosomal RNA", at positions 28 to 507 of the family's 1533-position model. The record is from RNAcentral.